GGGUAGAUACGGAAGCGGCUCAAACCGGUCAGACUGUAAAUCUGAUGUCUACGACUUCGCAGGUUCGAAUCCUGCUCUGCCCACCA
This 86-nucleotide transfer RNA is filed under the name Pseudomonas phage Noxifer. Its description in RNAcentral is "tRNA-Tyr". It matches the Rfam family "tRNA". Rfam says of the family: Transfer RNA (tRNA) molecules are approximately 80 nucleotides in length. Their secondary structure includes four short double-helical elements and three loops (D, anti-codon, and T loops). Further hydrogen bonds mediate the characteristic L-shaped molecular structure. tRNAs have two regions of fundamental functional importance: the anti-codon, which is responsible for specific mRNA codon recognition, and the 3' end, to which the tRNAs corresponding amino acid is attached (by aminoacyl-tRNA synthetases). tRNAs cope with the degeneracy of the genetic code in two manners: having more than one tRNA (with a specific anti-codon) for a particular amino acid; and 'wobble' base-pairing, i.e. permitting non-standard base-pairing at the 3rd anti-codon position. Lineage: Duplodnaviria; Heunggongvirae; Uroviricota; Caudoviricetes; Chimalliviridae. The record is from RNAcentral.